AAGUGUUUAUGUACAUGAAAAUAUAUAUAUGUAUGUGUGUGCACACAGUAUGGGAGGUGGCAUCUUCAGCUUAAUACAUGACUCAUAAGGAACAUGAAAUUAGGACUGUAUUGCUUUUGGCAUUUGUUUUAUUUUGGUUUCAUAUUGAUAUGUUGCCUGUGCAAAUUUGAAAUGUCUAAUGGCUUUAAUUAAAAUAAUAAUUAUAUUUAUCUAAUUAAACCAAGAAAUAAGACUUUAUUUAGAAGAAUUGAACAGUGUUUUAAUUAAAGUCUUAUUUUUUCUUAUUCGUUACUUUGUAUGAUUUUUUUUUUUUGUCUUUUUAUGCUCAUGGCAUAUGGCGGUUCUCAGGCUAGGGGUUGAAUUGGAGCUGUAGGUGCUGGCCUACACCACAGCCAACAUCAACACCAGAUCUGAGCCAUGUCUUUAACCUAAACUACAGCUCAUGGGAAUACAGGAUCCUUAACCCACUGAGCGAGUCCAGGGAUUGAACCUGCAUCCUCAUGGAUACUGGUUAGAUUUAUUUCUGCUGAGCCACAGAAGGAACUCCACUUUAUAUGAUUUUAAUCAUAAUAUAUUACAUUUAGCCUAAUAGCUUGUGUUUCCAAAUUAAUGUAUUUUAUGACCCCGCCAAAUGUACUCAAUAUUUAAAAAUUAAAACUUAGACCCAAAUCUAAAUGUGACACUGGCAAAACAUAUCGUAAUUUUUUAAGUUUUAGUUUUUAUCUAUGGCCAAUGAUAAAGCUUACAACAGUCAUUUCUUCAUUGAAAUAUCUGACACUUUAAAACAUGUUCACUUCAUUUAUUCACAUCAACUAAAAUCCUUGAUUGUUAUUCUCGAAUUUUCAUGACAGUGCAAAUUUCGUUUAAGACAGUCAUUCCCCCCUUUGGUUGUUUUUCUUUUUUUUUUUUAAUAAAAAGAAUGCUGUCAUUUAUUUCAAAUAUUUAAUUUACUUUCUAUUGUACAAUAUUCUAAGAGGACCAAUGAUGUUUUCCCUGACAUAUCCUUCCUAUGGCGUCCUUUUUAAAAUUUGCUCCAUUGAUUUUACCCUGUUGUGUUUUAAAUAGCGCUAAAAUCAUCAUAGCUGUUUAUGUGCUUUACACUUGUUUAGGAAAAUAGUCAAUCAUUGUGAAAAAUGGCAAUAGAUUAUUUUAGAUAUCUAACAAAAAAUAAAUGUUAAUUUUCAGUAACUUUUGAAGUUAAAAUGUAU
RNAcentral lists this long non-coding RNA (1208 nucleotides) under Sus scrofa (pig). RNAcentral's name for it is "lncRNA (ENSSSCG00040064601.1)". The record is from RNAcentral. Lineage: Eukaryota; Metazoa; Chordata; Mammalia; Artiodactyla; Suidae.